GACGAACGCUGGCGGCGUGCCUUACACAUGCAAGUCGAACGGAAAGGCCUCUUUCGGGGGGUACCCGAGUGGCGAACGGGUGAGUAACACGUGAGUAACCGGCCCUUGACUUUGGGAUAACUUCAGGAAACUGGGGCUAAUACCGGAUAGGAGCUCCUGCUGCAUGGUGGUGGUUGGAAAGGUUCGGCGGUUGGGGAUGGACUUGCGGCUUACCAGCUUGUUGGUGGGGUAGGGGCUUACCAAGGCUUCGACGGGUAGCCGGCCUGAGAGGGUGACCGGCCACAUUGGGACUGGGAUACGGACCAGACUCCUACGGGAGGCAGCAGUGGGGAAUAUUGCACAAUGGGUGGGAGCCUGAUGCAGCAACGCCGUGUGCGGGAUGACGGCCUUCGGGUUGUAAACCGCUUUCGCUCAUGACGAAGCUUUGUGUGACGGUAGUGGGUAAAGAAGCACCGGCUAACUACGUG
RNAcentral lists this ribosomal RNA (467 nucleotides) under uncultured bacterium. RNAcentral describes it as "partial 16S ribosomal RNA". It matches the Rfam family "Bacterial small subunit ribosomal RNA", at positions 28 to 507 of the family's 1533-position model. The record is from RNAcentral.